Molecule: ribosomal RNA, 1137 nt
Filed under: Salmonella enterica subsp. enterica serovar Senftenberg str. A4-543
Lineage: Bacteria; Pseudomonadati; Pseudomonadota; Gammaproteobacteria; Enterobacterales; Enterobacteriaceae
Description: SSU rRNA
Rfam family: Bacterial small subunit ribosomal RNA
Source: RNAcentral
AAAUUGAAGAGUUUGAUCAUGGCUCAGAUUGAACGCUGGCGGCAGGCCUAACACAUGCAAGUCGAACGGUAACAGGAAGCAGCUUGCUGCUUUGCUGACGAGUGGCGGACGGGUGAGUAAUGUCUGGGAAACUGCCUGAUGGAGGGGGAUAACUACUGGAAACGGUGGCUAAUACCGCAUAACGUCGCAAGACCAAAGAGGGGGACCUUCGGGCCUCUUGCCAUCAGAUGUGCCCAGAUGGGAUUAGCUGGUUGGUGAGGUAACGGCUCACCAAGGCGACGAUCCCUAGCUGGUCUGAGAGGAUGACCAGCCACACUGGAACUGAGACACGGUCCAGACUCCUACGGGAGGCAGCAGUGGGGAAUAUUGCACAAUGGGCGCAAGCCUGAUGCAGCCAUGCCGCGUGUAUGAAGAAGGCCUUCGGGUUGUAAAGUACUUUCAGCGGGGAGGAAGGUGUUGUGGUUAAUAACCGCAGCAAUUGACGUUACCCGCAGAAGAAGCACCGGCUAACUCCGUGCCAGCAGCCGCGGUAAUACGGAGGGUGCAAGCGUUAAUCGGAAUUACUGGGCGUAAAGCGCACGCAGGCGGUCUGUCAAGUCGGAUGUGAAAUCCCCGGGCUCAACCUGGGAACUGCAUUCGAAACUGGCAGGCUUGAGUCUUGUAGAGGGGGGUAGAAUUCCAGGUGUAGCGGUGAAAUGCGUAGAGAUCUGGAGGAAUACCGGUGGCGAAGGCGGCCCCCUGGACAAAGACUGACGCUCAGGUGCGAAAGCGUGGGGAGCAAACAGGAUUAGAUACCCUGGUAGUCCACGCCGUAAACGAUGUCUACUUGGAGGUUGUGCCCUUGAGGCGUGGCUUCCGGAGCUAACGCGUUAAGUAGACCGCCUGGGGAGUACGGCCGCAAGGUUAAAACUCAAAUGAAUUGACGGGGGCCCGCACAAGCGGUGGAGCAUGUGGUUUAAUUCGAUGCAACGCGAAGAACCUUACCUGGUCUUGACAUCCACAGAAGAAUCCAGAGAUGGAUUUGUGCCUUCGGGAACUGUGAGACAGGUGCUGCAUGGCUGUCGUCAGCUCGUGUUGUGAAAUGUUGGGUUAAGUCCCGCAACGAGCGCAACCCUUAUCCUUUGUUGCCAGCGGUUA